UACGUAGGGUGCAAGCGUUGUCCGGAAUUCCUGGGCUUAAAGAGUUCGUAGGCGGCAUGAAAAGUAGGGUGUGAAAGCCCUCGGCUCAACCGAGGAAUUGCGCUCUAAACUGUCGUGCUCGAGGAACCUAGAGGUGAGCAGAACAGAUGGUGGAGCGGUGAAAUGCGUUGAUAUCAUCUGGAAUACCGGAGGCGAAGGCGGCUCACUGGGGGUUUUCUGACGCUGAGGAGCGAAAGCGUGGGGAGCGAACAGG
Molecule: ribosomal RNA, 253 nt
Filed under: uncultured bacterium
Lineage: Bacteria
Description: partial 16S ribosomal RNA
Rfam family: Bacterial small subunit ribosomal RNA
Source: RNAcentral